This 191-nucleotide small nuclear RNA is filed under the name Amphiprion percula (orange clownfish). RNAcentral's name for it is "U2 spliceosomal RNA (ENSAPEG00000011783.1)". It matches the Rfam family "U2 spliceosomal RNA". From Rfam's summary of the family: U2 is a small nuclear RNA (snRNA) component of the spliceosome (involved in pre-mRNA splicing). Complementary binding between U2 snRNA (in an area lying towards the 5' end but 3' to hairpin I) and the branchpoint sequence (BPS) of the intron results the bulging out of an unpaired adenosine, on the BPS, which initiates a nucleophilic attack at the intronic 5' splice site, thus starting the first of two transesterification reactions that mediate splicing. Lineage: Eukaryota; Metazoa; Chordata; Actinopteri; Pomacentridae. The record is from Rfam by way of RNAcentral.
AUCGCUUCUCGGCCUUUUGGCUAAGAUCAAGUGUAGUAUCUGUUCUUAUCAGUUUAAUAUCUGAUAUGUUCUCCAAUGUGAGGACUAUAUAUAAACGGAUUUUUAGCACCGGGAGCUGAAAGAGGGGCUUGCUCCUUUCACUCCACGCAUCGACCUGCCACUGCAGUGCCGCCAGGAACGGUGCACCCUUC